AUGGGGAGUUCCAGUCGCUACUGCUCCAUUUCCCCUGCAGUCAUCUUCGUCCUUGCCGUCCUGCUGCUCAACCCUGAUCUAGGGUCGUGCGGCUGCUUCAAGCGCAUCUUCUCUUUGGGCGACUCCAUCACCGACACCGGCAACUUCGCAUAUAUCAGCCGCAACAGUCCACCGGGUCCGCCCUCGGUGCCCCCUUAUGGAGAGACCUACUUCCACCGCCCCACGGGUCGUGCCUCCGAUGGGCGUCUCAUCAUCGACUUCUACGGUGAGUACGCACAUACAUGCAUGUGUGUUCCAAGUUCCAACAGUUGGAAUUUCGUGUGCAUGCUCAAUUUGGUGCCUGAUGUUGUGUCAGCGCAAGCGUUGGGCCUGCCGUUGCUGCCGCCGAGCAUUCCCGAGGAGAAGACGGGGAAGUUCUCGACCGGUGCCAACUUCGCCGUGUUUGGCUCUAUUGCGCUCAACCCCAAGUACUUCAUGUCAAGGUAUAACUUCAGUCUGCAGCGCGGGUGCCUCGACGAGCAGCUGGCUUCUUUCAAGAGAGUGCUCGCACGGAUUGCUCCAGGAGAUGCUGCCACCAAGAGUCUCCUGAGCGAAUCCCUAGUCGUCUUCGGCGAGAUUGGUGGCAACGACUACAACUUCUGGUUCUUCGAUCGUACACACAGCCGGGACACGGCCCAGGAGUACAUACCGGACGUGGUUGCCCGCAUAGGCGCCGGUGUCCAAGAGGUGAUCAAGCUUGGUGCUAAGACUGUCCUUGUCCCGGGGAACUUCCCCAUUGGGUGCGUGCCGGUUUACCUCAGAGAUUACAAGAGCAACACGACCACGGACUACGACCAGUUCGGUUGCCUCAAGUGGUUCAACGCAUUCUCCCAGAAGCACAACCAGCUACUGAAACAAGAGAUCAGCAAGCUCAAGUCGCAGAACCCCAGCGUGAAGAUCAUCUACGGCGACUACUAUGGCGCCUUCAUGGAGUUAGUCAAGAAUCCUCUCAGGAAUGGCAUUGACAAGCCUCUGGUGGCAUGUUGUGGUGGCGAUGGCCCGUAUGGCACAGGCCAUGAGUGCAACCAGAAGGCGAAGGUUUGCCGCGACCCAUCUAGGUUCGCCAACUGGGACCAAAUCCACAUGACGGAGAAGGCAUACAAUGUCAUCGCUAAUGGGGUGCUCAACGGCCCGUACGCCGACACCCCGUUGCUCCACACUUGCUAG
This 1206-nucleotide ribosomal RNA is filed under the name Triticum aestivum (bread wheat). RNAcentral's name for it is "partial small subunit ribosomal RNA". Lineage: Eukaryota; Viridiplantae; Streptophyta; Magnoliopsida; Poales; Poaceae. The record is from RNAcentral.